ACGAACGCUGGCGGCGUGCUUAACACCUGCAAGUCGAACGGUGAAGCGCCUUCCUUUUUGGUGGGUGUGGAUGAGUGGCGAACGGGUGAGUAACGCGUGAGUAACCUGCCCCCUUCUUCUGGAUAACCGCAUGAAAGUGUGGCUAAUACGGGAUAUUCUGGGUCUGUCGCAUGAUGGGUCUGGGAAAGAUAUUGUUUCGGUGGGGGAUGGGCUCGCGGCCUAUCAGCUUGUUGGUGGGGUGAUGGCCUACCAAGGCGGUGACGGGUAGCCGGCCUGAGAGGGUGGACGGUCACACUGGGACUGAGACACGGCCCAGACUCCUACGGGAGGCAGCAGUGGGGAAUAUUGCACAAUGGGCGCAAGCCUGAUGCAGCGACGCCGCGUGAGGGAUGGAGGCCUUCGGGUUGUGAACCUCUUUCGCCAGUGAAGCAGGCCUGCCUCGUUUGUGGGUGGGUUGACGGUAGCUGGAUAAGAAGCGCCGGCUAACUACGUG
RNAcentral lists this ribosomal RNA (493 nucleotides) under uncultured bacterium. RNAcentral's name for it is "partial 16S ribosomal RNA". It matches the Rfam family "Bacterial small subunit ribosomal RNA", at positions 29 to 507 of the family's 1533-position model. The record is from RNAcentral.